RNAcentral lists this ribosomal RNA (517 nucleotides) under uncultured Bacteroidota bacterium. Its description in RNAcentral is "bacterial SSU rRNA". It matches the Rfam family "Bacterial small subunit ribosomal RNA", at positions 1 to 519 of the family's 1533-position model. The record is from RNAcentral. Lineage: Bacteria; Pseudomonadati; Bacteroidota.
AGGAGUUUGAUCCUGGGUCAGGAUGAACGCUAGCGGCAGGCUUAAUACAUGCAAGUCGAGGGGCAUCGGGGGUAGCAAUACCUGCCGGCGACCGGCAAACGGGUGCGGAACACGUACACAACCUUCCUUUAAGUGGGGGAUAGCCCAGAGAAAUUUGGAUUAAUACCCCGUAACAUUAGUAGAUGGCAUCAUUUACGAAUUAAAGCUACGGCGCUUAGAGAUGGGUGUGCGUCUGAUUAGGUAGUUGGUUGAGGUAACGGCUCACCAAGCCUUCGAUCAGUAACUGGUGUGAGAGCACGACCAGUCACACGGGCACUGAGACACGGGCCCGACUCCUACGGGAGGCAGCAGUAAGGAAUAUUGGUCAAUGGACGCAAGUCUGAACCAGCCAUGCCGCGUGGAGGAUGAAGGUCCUCUGGAUUGUAAACUUCUUUUAUCUGGGAAGAAAUGCAUUUUUUCUAAAGGUUUGACGGUACCAGAAGAAUAAGCACCGGCUAACUCCGUGCCAGCAGCCGCG